RNAcentral lists this ribosomal RNA (418 nucleotides) under Listeria monocytogenes. Its description in RNAcentral is "partial 23S ribosomal RNA". It matches the Rfam family "Bacterial large subunit ribosomal RNA", at positions 1 to 404 of the family's 2925-position model. The record is from RNAcentral. Lineage: Bacteria; Bacillati; Bacillota; Bacilli; Caryophanales; Listeriaceae.
AGUAAAUUGGUUAAGUUAGAAAGGGCGCACGGUGGAUGCCUUGGCACUAGGAGCCGAAGAAGGACGGGACUAACACCGAUAUGCUUUGGGGAGCUGUACGUAAGCGUUGAUCCAGAGAUUUCCGAAUGGGGGAACCCACUAUCUUUAGUCGGAUAGUAUCCUUACGUGAAUACAUAGCGUGAGGAAGGCAGACCCAGGGAACUGAAACAUCUAAGUACCUGGAGGAAGAGAAAGAAAAAUCGAUUUCCUGAGUAGCGGCGAGCGAAACGGAAAGAGCCCAAACCAAGAAGCUUGCUUCUUGGGGUUGUAGGACACUCUAUACGGAGUUACAAAAGAAAGUUAUAAAUGAAGCGGUCUGGAAAGGCCCGCCAAAGACGGUAACAGCCCGGUAGUUGAAAUGGCUUUCCCUCCAGAGUGG